UACGGAGGGUGCAAGCGUUAAUCGGAAUUACUGGGCGUAAAGCGCACGCAGGCGGUCUGUCAAGUCGGAUGUGAAAUCCCCGGGCUCAACCUGGGAACUGCAUCCGAAACUGGCAGGCUAGAGUCUUGUAGAGGGGGGUAGAAUUCCAGGUGUAGCGGUGAAAUGCGUAGAGAUCUGGAGGAAUACCGGUGGCGAAGGCGGCCCCCUGGACAAAGACUGACGCUCAGGUGCGAAAGCGUGGGGAGCAAACAGGAUUAGAUACCCUGGUAGUCCACGCCGUAAACGAUGUCGACUGGGAGGUUGUGGCCUUGAGGCGUGGCUGCCGAAGCUAACGCGUUAAGUAGACCGCCUGGGGAGUACGGCCGCAAGGUUAAA
Molecule: ribosomal RNA, 375 nt
Filed under: uncultured bacterium
Lineage: Bacteria
Description: bacterial SSU rRNA
Rfam family: Bacterial small subunit ribosomal RNA
Source: RNAcentral